Danio rerio (zebrafish) is the source of this 116-nucleotide ribosomal RNA. Lineage: Eukaryota; Metazoa; Chordata; Actinopteri; Cypriniformes; Danionidae. The record is from Ensembl.
AGCCACAGCCAUAUGACCCUGCAGCCCCAGACCGGUUACUCACUGAAGCUAAGCAGGGUUGAGCCUGGCCACUACCUAAAGGGAGUCUAAAUGAGAAAACUAGGUUGCUGUUGGAA